UAGCUCUCACGGUGCAUCUACCCAAGCAAAAUAAUCUGGGUCCAGUGUGGAGUGUAGUAUUCUGCACCGGCCGUAGAAGCAGUUAUGUUUCCUGCCUCUUUCCCCCUGCAGAAGUGGGAUGAGAUCCUGACCAUCUAGUGGGGUGUAACCCAGUAUGGCCCUGCUGGACAGCCACCCUUACCUUUGUUGUCUGGUCUACAGAGUUCCAAAGAGCUCCUGUCCAUUCAUGGGCUCUUUUGGUGAUACUAGUAAGGGCAACCUCAUGAUUCGGAGAGGAGAUUUAUGAAAGCUGGGGGAGGGGGGACUAUCUCACUCCCCUCUCUGAGUCAGCAAUGGCUCCCAGGAACAUCUCUUUGAACUCUGUGGCCUCUACUAUGACAAAGGUAUAUAUUAUCCCCCGUACCUGUGUCACAAACCGGCACAGCUGUUUAUCUUUAAGUGCGAGGGAGCUCCAGAGCAUUCCAUGACUUUGCCUAAUUUGGGGCCUUGCCCUGUAUUGGGGUCAAGAAGCCAAUUCUUGUUUACCCCACUUUAAACUGGCUAUGUAGCUGUGUCCCCAUUCAUUCCUUUAUUGCAUUCUUUAUUGCAUACUUGGUGAACCUAAAAUCUGUGUUUCUGCAGCUGUCCUUCACCAUCUUCACAUCACUGCCAUUGCUGAAAAAACUUCCAGUUAGGCAGAGGACAAAGAGGAAAAGGGGGAAUGGUCAGGUAUAAAAAUAUUUUCUAGAAAGGAGCUUCAUUGUCAAAGGCUUAGUUAAGACAUGCCUGAAACCUCAAGAAGCACACCCUCUGUUUCCCCUUAAUAUGCAUUUCACAUUUCAGGUAUCUAACUAUCCAUGGCAAAGACUGUCUAUCCUAUUAAUACAGACUCUGUGCAGCAGUUGUUGUUCAGAGAUCCUACAUUUUCACUUGCAUCUAUUAGUGUCAGAGAAACACUACAGAAAUGUUUCUGGGGGGAAAUCAGCAGAUGCCUCCUUCGGGGAGCAGUGUUUAAACAAUGUUAGCUGGGAGUAUUGUGAAAGAGAGGUGAGAUUAGAAUAACUCAAAAUUAAUGAUUUAAGAGUGGAGUAUUUCUUCCUCCAUUCACUGCAGUUAAUUGCCUGGAAGAAAAUGAAAAGCAGAUGCUGCGUGACUUCUUACAUUAUCUCUGCGAAUAUUUCAUAAUAUGUCUUCACUCUACUGCAAAAGCAAAUUCCUUGAUUUCUCCUCUUUCCUUUAUUUCUUUCAAAAAAGAUUCAACAUUCAAAUACUUUUUGUUUUCACAUAGAAAGAAGAUUAGAAGACUAGCAACAUGCAAUGUUUUAAUGUACCUCUAGUGAGCAGAUUUUGUGCUUUUAUGUUUGAUUAUAUUUAUGUUCAUUGUUUAACACUAUGUUCAUUAUAUAUUAUGUUGUAAACUGCUUUAGAUUCCCUAGGGGAAGAAGGCAGUAUAUAAAUGAUGUAAAUAAAUAAAAGCUUAUAAUUUGUUAAAAAGCAUUGAUUAUGACAACUGAGCUAACUGUCCAAGAUUAUGGUAUCAGUUUCUUUUUCUCAUUAAAACAUUUCUUGUCUUGCUUAAGAAGGGUCACUUCUUGGUAGGAUAUUGUUGAGAAAGUAUUUAUUGUAAAUAUAGUUAUCAGCUGAAUAGUUCUCAGUAUUCUCAGAGUUAAGAUUAAGCCAUUCAAGAGUAACAUUAAAGUAGUUGAUUUAUUAUCAGAGAAAAUACAAUUUGGGCUGAAUCCAUACCCUCCAACAUUUCACAAAUGAAGAACUGGGACACGUGUGGCCAAGCAACACAUGUCUCUAUGUAGGUAUCACUGGGCUAAAUUGUUCUGAAGGUAAAAGCAGAGAAGCUCCAUUACUCAUCAUUGUCCUACACUAAUGAGAGACAAACUGCAUACAAUGGGGAAUCUGCUAUGCUUCAAGUGUGAUGUAGAAUACAGUGGGCCCUCUACCUUCACUGGGAUUAGGAUCGCAAGACUUCCAUAAGAGUGACAAAACCAUGAAUUGAAAAAACUGCUUUUUAAAACCCGGUAGAAGUUGAUAAUAGAAUCAAACUAGAGGACCUACAAAUCUACUGGACCAUAAGUAUUUGCCUUCCUAAGGUGGUCCAGUCGUAAGAUCAGGGGGAAUAAAGUGGCACUCACAGGCUGCUUGAGGUUCCCAAAAACCUCUGUAAUGGAAAAGCUAAUUAUAAUGGGGAUUUUGUAAUGGUUUAGUAUUGUUGAUAUUAUGGAAAGGGCAGGCAGGAGUUGUCUAUAUCUGAUUGGUUGAUGCAACGCUGUGGUUACGCAGCCUUUGCAGUAGAAAUGUAUCCCUUUUAGAGCGGCUAGCAAGAAAAAGGGGCGGAGCUAGUUGGGAGGAAAAAGAGGGAGCAGUUUUGAAAUUAUUCAGUCUCUAGCUGGGAGCUAGAGUGGUGUCCUGUUUGUCUUUCAAGAACAGUCUUAAGACACUGUGGUAAGUAAAUAAAAACUGCUUUAUUUCAGCAAAACAUAAAGUACAGCACACCCAGUGGUAUAAUGCAAAAGAAAGCCAGGAAGUCUUACUUCAGACAAAGAAACAGCAAUAAAUCCAGAGCAGGCACACGGAGAGUGAAGGCAUUAGAUUCAGUUUAUUACCAGCAAGAGCUGGCUGCACAUGCUUUGGCUUUUAUAGCCCUGGGUCCCCACACAGCUGCUAGGGCAGUUCCUAAUUACUCAGCUGCAUUUCUGGCAGCUAAUCUAACUGAAUCUAUCUCUGCUCUGUUUCCUUUUGCCUCUCCAGGAAUGAUGGUACUAGCAAAGUCUCCUCCUCAGACUCCAACUCACCCUUAGAUUCUUGAACACUUUCCUGCUCCCCUUCCUCUUCUGAGGAAGAGGAAUUCCUGACAUGUGAAGAGGAUCUUUGUUUAAGAUCAUGGCUUCAAUUGUAGUACUGAAGGAAAAAGAGACUAAUUUGAGUCUAAGUCUUCAGUCAGUUGAAACUGAGAGACAGAGUGUCCUAUGUGUCCUAAGUUUUCAGACAGACUACAGUAUUGAUGGAAAAGAGUGACUAUAAGAUAUAAGUUAUUUGGCUGGAAUGCUGAAGGUAAAUAUGUUGAAGUGGGAAUGAUUGUACAUAGGUUUGUUUAAAUGUAAUUGAGUUAUAGUGAUGCAAUGUGAGCUGGGGAUUGCAUCAUGCACUGUCUGCUGUCCACUAUGCAAGUGUGUAAAGAGUUAACUGAGUGUUGCAUCAUACAGCAGAGGUGUUUAUAUAUAUAGCCUUCUGCUUCCUGUAUUCUCUCUCUGGUUAUCUGCUCUCUGCACUCUGUCUGUAUGUAUAUCGUCUUGUGAGAGUUUUCUGUUCACCAGUAAACCUGUUUAUAGAUAGUUGAAGUCUCCAGCCUCAUUACUGGUACCAGUGCUUCUACGUGAGUCUUCUGCUGCGAGUAUGCUUAUCCAAAAACGCGCUCUGACAGUGGUUAUGGGCCCAGCUUGACCAGUUUGACCAGUUUGCCCAGUUUAACCAGUUUAACCAGUCCCAGCAGGACCAGGCAGAACCCAGAAGGACCAGAGUCUCCAGCUGAACCAGCACCAGAGUCUACUCCAGAACCUGUGACUGUGCCAGAACCAGACCACUUUCCAAUGUACCCAGUAUACUGACAAGUCUGUGUGGAGCCAGAAGUCCGGGUGAGCUGAGUGGUGAGCUGAGCUGUGAGCUGUGUGAAGGAAGCCGUUCCGAAUUAAAGAAGGAGAUGAACCAGUGACACCACUGAUUUAAGGUUCACAAUGCAGUCGGCUGGGUUGCUGGAACUGUUUAGGGGAAACUGUGUUUCUGGGUGCAAAGCCUAUAUAUUUUUUCCUUUUAUAUAAACUAUAAGCACAACAUAAAUGUGCUGGUGAUGAUAAUAAACAAUAUGAGGGUAGAAAUAGCAAAUCAUCCAUAUUCAGAGAGAUAACUGUAGUUGUUUGGCUAUUCUCUGCAUUUGCGAAAUAUCCAUUAAAAAUACAUUUACAUUCUGGA
This is a long non-coding RNA of Anolis carolinensis (green anole), 3960 nucleotides long. RefSeq lists it as uncharacterized. Lineage: Eukaryota; Metazoa; Chordata; Lepidosauria; Squamata; Anolidae. The transcript is spliced from 2 exons. The record is from RefSeq and is a predicted model, not a curated record.